CCAUGNGUAGCGGUGAAAUGCGUAGAUAUAUGGAGGAACACCAGUGGCGAAAGCGGCUCUCUGNUCUGUCACUGACGCUGAGGCUCGAAAGCGUGGGUAGCGANCAGGAUUAGAUACCCCGGUAGUNCACGCCGUAAACGAUGAGUGCUAGGUGUUAGGCCCUUUCCGGGGCUUAGUGCCGGAGCUAACGCAAUAAGCACUCCGCCUGGGGAGUACGACCGCAAGGUUGAAACUCAAAGGAAUUGACGGGGGCCCGCACAAGCGGUGGAGCAUGUGGUUUAAUUCGAAGCAACGCGAAGANCCUUACCAGGUCUUGACAUCCCGAUGCUAUUCUUAGAGAUAGGAAGUUACUUCGGUACAUCGGAGACAGGUGGUGCAUGGUUGUCGUCAGCUCGUGUCGUGAGAUGUUGGGUUAAGUCCCGCAACGAGCGCAACCCUUAUUGUUAGUUGCCAUCAUUAAGUUGGGCACUCUAGCGAGACUGCCGGUAAUAAACCGGAGGAAGGUGGGGAUGACGUCAAAUCAUCAUGCCCCUUAUGACCUGGGCUACACACGUGCUACAAUGGUCGGUACAACGAGUUGCGAGCCGGUGACGGCAAGCUAAUCUCUGAAAGCCGAUCUCAGUUCGGAUUGGAGGCUGCAACUCGCCUCCAUGAAGUCGGAAUCGCUAGUAAUCGCGGAUCAGCACGCCGCGG
Molecule: ribosomal RNA, 693 nt
Filed under: uncultured bacterium
Lineage: Bacteria
Description: bacterial SSU rRNA
Rfam family: Bacterial small subunit ribosomal RNA
Source: RNAcentral